Long non-coding RNA from Medicago truncatula (barrel medic), 693 nucleotides. RefSeq lists it as uncharacterized. The transcript has 3 exons. The record is from RefSeq and is a predicted model, not a curated record. Lineage: Eukaryota; Viridiplantae; Streptophyta; Magnoliopsida; Fabales; Fabaceae.
UGCUAGGUGAACCCCAUGAGAUGCUUUUUCAAGAAUUUCAAUAUUUGAUUCGCCUUGAGCUCGUUCUUUCCUGGUUUAACUCAAAUUCUCUUCUCCACUUGAUUCAGAAAUGUCCCUUGCUCCAACCUCUCAUAAUUCAGAAUGACAAGGAACGGUCGCCAAUUUUAGCAUGGUCUCCACAGCCAAGUAUUCCUAAUUGUCUUGUAUCCCACCUGAGCUUUAUUGAAUUUAAAGGAUUUCGAGGAUUUCCAGAUGAGGUUUCAUUUGUUGAGUAUGUUUUGCAAAAUGGACAUGUUUUAAAGACGUUGAUUAUUGCUGAUAUUUCCUUGGACCUAAAAAAGAAGUAUCUCAUUCUCAAGUUAGUAUCUGAUGUGCCAAGGGCCUCUGCAAUGUGCCAACUGAAAUUUGAUUGAACUGUAUCUCCUUACUAUAUAUAAGAGAAAACUUUCCCUCUUGAAGUACUCAGAUCAAGUUUUCUCUGAUGAUUUGGCUUUACUACAAAGAGGAUAUGGGAGCAAAACGUAUAAUAUGUAUUUUGCAUUUCAUCAGGUUCAAAACUCUCUUGUAUUUUGACAACUACUAUUUAUUUCCAUAUUUUUGUAUAUUAAUAUCAGGACAUGGUAAACAAGGAAAAGUUCUUGAAAUUGUGUCUUGUUCUUUUGUGUAGAACAAGAAAAGUCAUCUAAGUAUUUG